UGGGGAAUAUUGCGCAAUGGGGGGAACCCUGACGCAGCCAUGCCGCGUGAAUGAAGAAGGCCUUAGGGUUGUAAAGUUCUUUCGGUAUUGAGGAAGGUUGAUGUGUUAAUAGCACAUCAAAUUGACGUUAAAUACAGAAGAAGCAUCGGCUAACUCCGUGCCAGCAGCCGCGGUAAUACGGAGGGUGCGAGCGUUAAUCGGAAUAACUGGGCGUAAAGGGCACGCAGGCGGUUAUUUAAGUGAGGUGUGAAAGCCCCGGGCUUAACCUGGGAAUUGCAUUUCAGACUGGGUAACUAGAGUACUUUAGGGAGGGGUAGAAUUCCACGUGUAGCGGUGAAAUGCGUAGAGAUGUGGAGGAAUACCGAAGGCGAAGGCAGCCCCUUGGGAAUGUACUGACGCUCAUGUGCGAAAGCGUGGGGAGCAAACAGGAUUAGAUACCCUGGUAGUCCACGCUGUAAACGCUGUCGAUUUGGGGGUUGGGGUUUAACUCUGGCGCCCGUAGCUAACGUGAUAAAUCGACCGCCUGGGGAGUACGGCCGCAAGGUUA
This 547-nucleotide ribosomal RNA is filed under the name uncultured bacterium. RNAcentral's name for it is "bacterial SSU rRNA". It matches the Rfam family "Bacterial small subunit ribosomal RNA", at positions 355 to 896 of the family's 1533-position model. The record is from RNAcentral.